UUUCUUAAAGUAAUUUUUACACUUUAAUUUCGAAUUAAACAUAUGAUUUAGCCUAAAUCUAAGAAAU
RNAcentral lists this transfer RNA (67 nucleotides) under Wasmannia auropunctata (little fire ant). RNAcentral describes it as "tRNA-Arg". The record is from RNAcentral. Lineage: Eukaryota; Metazoa; Arthropoda; Insecta; Hymenoptera; Formicidae.